GACAGAGGGUGCAAGCGUUGUUCGGAAUUAUUGGGCGUAAAGGGCGCGUAGGCGGCUUUGUAAGUCAGAUGUGAAAUCCCAGGGCUUAACCCUGGAAGUGCAUCUGAUACUGCUUAGCUUGAAUCCCGGAGAGGGUGGUGGAAUUCCUGGUGUAGAGGUGAAAUGCGUAGAUAUAGGAAGGAACACCAGUGGCGAAGGCGACCACCUGGACUGAUACUGACACUGAGGUGCGAAAGCGUGGGGAGCAAACAGG
This 253-nucleotide ribosomal RNA is filed under the name uncultured bacterium. Its description in RNAcentral is "partial 16S ribosomal RNA". It matches the Rfam family "Bacterial small subunit ribosomal RNA", at positions 524 to 776 of the family's 1533-position model. The record is from RNAcentral.